CCAUGCCAGCAGUGUUGGUGACUGCUCUCUCCCUGUUUCCUAGGGUCCAUCACCUCCAUCCGCUCCCAGCCCGUGGGAACGUGUUCCUCUCUGAGAGUCCCAACAGAGUCCCUCCAGCUGGCAGUCCGCUCUCCCAACCACGAAGGCCGCCACCGCUGGAAGAUCUUUCCCCCCCCACGUCACACCUCGAUCUCCUACUCUCAACAAGCUGCUGUGCAGACAGGAGGCCAUUCAGACGGACUCCGUGGACGGGCAGACUCCAGACCGCAGGGACAGCCUGCAAGCAGAGCCUGGAGAGACGCUACCAUCAGCCACGCAGCCCCAGAGCACCUUCACCCCCAGCCCGCUCCAUCCCUCGGCUGCCUCCCUCCCGGGCACCCCCCCAAGCUCCCCCCCGUCCUCCCCGCAUCGGCACCCCAGCGCACUCACGCGGAAGCACACCUGCGGCCAGCACGGCGUCCCCAGCCGGCCGCCCAGCCCCGGCGGCAGCCCUCCCAACCCUGAGGGCUGCCUCUUCGAGUCCUCCGACCUGGCUGACGAGGAGGUUUGCCACAUCAACAGCUCGGCCAAAGACUGGGGAGGGGAGCACUCGGAUGCUGGGAGCCGCUCGACUUCGCCGUUCAUCUCCCCGGCCCCGUCUCCGGUGCCCCUCAAGAACUGCAGCACAACGAGCCUCUCCAGGGGCAGCAGCAAGGAGAAGGACUUGAAGAAGUUUUACAGCAUCGAUACGAAGGGCUUUCUCAACAAGCCCAGCUGGGCAGAUGACCAAAGGCGGCACUCCAUCGAGAUCUGCCCCUCCAUCAGCGACAGGGACUGUAGCUUUGAGGACCCUGCCGAGGAAAAGCAGCGGUCCCCUGUCCACAUCCAGACGGAGUCCGAGUACAUCCACGGAGCCCGGAGGAAGAAGAAGAUGAGCCCACCCUGCAUUUCUAUAGAUCCUCCCAUGGAGGACGACGGCGGGGCGGCCUCACGCACCAAACCCUCCGAGAACAGCAUGCUGCGGCGAAGGACCCCAUCCUGUGAGUUCCCGGCUUACAGAGAGUCCCUGGAGCUCGCGGAGAGCCAGCCCGGGGAGCCGGCCUCCAAAGCGGAGCGCCGGGGCCAGCCCCCAUGCCGCGGGGAGCACCUGACCAUCCCCAACUUCUCCUUCGAGCAGUUGGACGGCGGCUCCAUGAGCAGCCUCUCGGAUCUCCUCCUGGACAGCGGUCAGUCCACACCGGCCUCCGUGGACUCCCGGCCGGAUGAUGCUGCCUCCGAACUGAAAAAGCCGGAUCACUUAAAAACUCAGUGGAACAACGCCGAGAAAUGCAAUGAGCUCCUGGGCAUUGCUAAGAGCCCCCUCCAGAAGCAGGACUUGGUCCCCGUGACUGUUGCAACAGAAGAAGACGUAGAUGACCCAGUAUAGCUUUCUGGGAGGGGGGAGCGGGGGGGUCUCAAGGGCUUGACACCAAUGUGGGUUUCCAAACCGAAGGGACUGAGCGGCCACAGGUACGUGGGUGGCUGCUCUGUCGGGGUUUUUUUCCUUUUGCGCAGUCACUUGUUCUUAAGCGCUGUGGAGGUUUGCAAAAAAAAAACACACACACACACACACACAAAAAAACCAAACAAAAAAAAAAAAUUAGAAAGAAAAAGAAACCAAACAAACGGCUGGACGAAACGGUGACAGGUUUGGGGUGGGGGGAGCGGAUUUGCAAAGUGGUUUGGGGGUUUCUUUUCUACAGGGAAGGUGGAGUUGAUUCGGGGGGUUGCUUCGUUCCUCCCACCCCGCUCCGUGGCCUCAAUCACAUUGAUUCGGGUUCGAGGUGGUGGCGGUUGGGAUUUGGGGGUUUCUCUUUGGGUUUUGUUGUUUUGUUGGUUUUGUUUUUUUAAAGAUGCUCAACUUUUAACAAGGCACCUUUUAGAGAUGUCACAUUACGCGGGAGUGCCCAGGAGAUGGGAGCUGUACAUUGUCUGUAUAUCAGCAGUUAUAUAAAUAGAAAUAAUGUAUUUGUGAGAUACAAAACAAGGAAAAAAAGACAAAAAAAAAAUAUACCCACAAAAACUCUCUCUUCAUAAUGCACAUAUUUUUAUAGAGAAAUGAUACUGGUUUUUGCAUUACAUGUGACUCCGCAACUGGGUGGUGUUUCCUUGGGUUUUAUGUGGAACUAAUUAUUAUGGCCAUUCAUUUUCCAAAUGUUUCUCUUCUUUCUUCAGUUUCAUUUUUUUCCUCUCCUUCCCUCCACCAUCAUCCCACCAGCUUCUUUUCACAGCUGAUGCUUUAGACGUCUCUCUCAUUUUUCUUUUGUACUUUAGAGGUUGUCCUAACUACAGAAAAAAAAACCAAAUCACUACUGAAUUGUAGCCAGUGCAAUAAUAAGUUAUUCAUUCUUCUUGUCUGUACCACUGUCCUGUUGCUUUAUUUUUUUUCCUUUUUUUAACUGAAAUUCAGGUUAAAUGUCGCAAUAAUCUGAACUAACGUGCACAAACAUGGUUUCUUGUGUUACAAAGAAAAAAAAAGAUGAAAAAAAGGAAAAAGUUAAAUUUACAGAGAUAAAAAACAAAACAAAUAAAUAGUAAAUUAUUUAAGAAAUGUAUUUUGUUUACUGCAGUUCAAAGUAAAUUAUUGAUACAGUAUGUAAAGGUAUAAAGAGCUGUCUUAGGUGAUGUUCUUUGUGAGCAUUUAAGCUGAUGAUUUGUCCUCCUCAUAGCAGAAUGCCUUCGAAACCUCGGUGGUGGCCAUAACCCUCCCAUUUGCACUCUUUCUGUCGGUCUUCCCUCCACACCCCCUGCACCCACACGUGGACGUGUUCGCCUCCCAAGGCCCUUCCCUCGCCAGCUCCGACUGAGAAGCCUCUAGAGGAAUUCAGGUCACCUCUUAACACCACUUUUUUAUUUUGCAGUUUUUGGGGUUGAUUUUUUUUUCUUUUUUAGCCUCCGGUCCCUGCCCCCUCCCCACCCCUCAUCCAGGCCCUCUCACCGUGGGACAGCUUCACCGUGGAAAGCUGAUGUUAAAUAAGAGCAGCAACGAGUCCGUCGCGUGGACGCGCCAUCGGCCCGAGCGCCGGGCAGCGGCAGCAAAAAGACAUACAGGGGAAAAAAAAAAAUUAAAACAAUCGUUUUUGUUUGGUUCGUUCCAUGCCGCCUCAUAUUUAUGCAUUCACGUAUAUCUUCUGUUAUUUAUGCAUUCAUUACUCAAAAGGAAAUGUAUCUUGUUUCACAUGUAUUAAACUGUAUAAACUGGAAGCGUGGCCUGACUUUGUGCCCCAGGGCGAGGUGUAGCCGGGAUGCCGAGCCCUGCUCCAGCGCAUCGCGUCCAGCCGGCAGCUCCCGCUGCCCGCAGCCCAGCCCGAAGGUCUCCAUCCCGCUCCCAGAGCUC
Long non-coding RNA from Aquila chrysaetos chrysaetos, 3355 nucleotides. The record is from Ensembl. NCBI's taxonomy places the organism in Eukaryota, Metazoa, Chordata, Aves, Accipitriformes, Accipitridae.